RNAcentral lists this transfer RNA (75 nucleotides) under Leiopelma archeyi (Coromandel frog). RNAcentral describes it as "tRNA-Leu". It matches the Rfam family "tRNA". Rfam says of the family: Transfer RNA (tRNA) molecules are approximately 80 nucleotides in length. Their secondary structure includes four short double-helical elements and three loops (D, anti-codon, and T loops). Lineage: Eukaryota; Metazoa; Chordata; Amphibia; Anura; Leiopelmatidae. The record is from RNAcentral.
GCUAGUGUGGCAGAGCCUGGUAAUUGCAAAAGACCUAAGCCCUUUUAAUCAGAGGUUCAACCCCUCUCGCUAGCC